Molecule: unclassified non-coding RNA, 379 nt
Filed under: uncultured Lysobacteraceae bacterium
Lineage: Bacteria; Pseudomonadati; Pseudomonadota; Gammaproteobacteria; Lysobacterales; Lysobacteraceae
Description: uncultured Xanthomonadaceae bacterium contains 16S-23S intergenic spacer region
Source: RNAcentral
UCACUGCUUGCGCGGGCAGUCUUUCUAGAGUCCCCACCAUCACGUGCUGGCAACUAGAAAUAAGGGUUGCGCUCGUUGCGGGACUUAACCCAACAUCUCACGACACGAGCUGACGACAGCCAUGCAGCACCUGUCUCACGGUUCCCGAAGGCACCCCCGCAUCUCUGCAGGGUUCCGUGGAUGUCAAGGCCAGGUAAGGUUCUGCGCGUUGCAUCGAAUUAAACCACAUACUCCACCGCUUGUGCGGGCCCCCGUCAAUUCCUUUGAGUUUCAGUCUUGCGACCGUACUCCCCAGGCGGCGAACUUAACGCGUUAGCUUCGAUACUGAGUGCCUAGUUGCACCCAACAUCCAGUUCGCAUCGUUUAGGGCGUGGACUAC